This 482-nucleotide ribosomal RNA is filed under the name uncultured bacterium. RNAcentral describes it as "partial 16S ribosomal RNA". It matches the Rfam family "Bacterial small subunit ribosomal RNA", at positions 28 to 523 of the family's 1533-position model. The record is from RNAcentral.
GACGAACGCUGGAGGCGUGCUUAACACAUGCAAGUCGAACGAUGAAGUGGAGCUUGCUCCAUGGAUUAGUGGCGAACGGGUGAGUAACACGUGAAUAACCUGCCCUUAAUUUUGGAAUAACCCAGGGAAACCUGGGCUAAUACCGGAUAAGUAAACCUGUGGCAUCACAUGGUUUUGGAAAGUUUUUCGAUUAAGGAUGGAUUCGCGGCCUAUUAGCUUGUUGGUGAGGUAAUGGCUCACCAAGGCGACGACGGGUAGCCGGCCUGAGAGGGUGAACGGCCACACUGGGACUGAGACACGGCCCAGACUCCUACGGGAGGCAGCAGUGGGGAAUAUUGCGCAAUGGACGAAAGUCUGACGCAGCGACGCCUCGUGAGGGACGAAGGUCUUCGGAUUGUAAACCUCUUUCAGCAGGGACGAAGCGAAAGUGACGGUACCUGCAGAAGAAGCACCGGCUAACUAUGUGCCAGCAGCCGCCGUAA